CCUACGGGAGGCAGCAGUGGGGAAUAUUGGGCAAUGGGCGCAAGCCUGACCCAGCAACGCCGCGUGAAGGAAGAAGGCUUUCGGGUUGUAAACUUCUUUUAAGAGGGAAGAGCAGAAGACGGUACCUCUGGAAUAAGCCACGGCUAACGACGUGCCAGCAGCCGCGGUAAUACGUAGGUGGCAAGCGUUGUCCGGAUUUACUGGGUGUAAAGGGCGUGCAGCCGGGAAGACAAGUCCGAGGGGAAAGCCCGCGGCUCCACCCCGGAACGGCUUUUGAAACUGUUUUUCUGGAGUACCGGAGAGGUCAUCGGCCUUCCUUUUGUAGCGGUGA
This 331-nucleotide ribosomal RNA is filed under the name uncultured bacterium. Its description in RNAcentral is "partial 16S ribosomal RNA". It matches the Rfam family "Bacterial small subunit ribosomal RNA", at positions 338 to 684 of the family's 1533-position model. The record is from RNAcentral.